This 216-nucleotide ribosomal RNA is filed under the name Ammonia sp. genotype T6. RNAcentral describes it as "partial small subunit ribosomal RNA". It matches the Rfam family "Eukaryotic small subunit ribosomal RNA", at positions 1176 to 1355 of the family's 1831-position model. Lineage: Eukaryota; Foraminifera; Rotaliida; Rotaliidae. The record is from RNAcentral.
GUGGAGCAUGUGGCUUAAUUUGACUCAACGCGGGAAAUCUCACCGGGUCCGGACACACUGAGGAUUGACGGAUAUAUACCCCGUGAUUUUAUCGCGGGGUUGAAAGAUGCUAGUUCUUUCAUGAUUAUGUGAUAGGUGGUGCAUGGCCGUUCUUAGUUCGUGGAGUGAUCUGUCUGCUUAAUUGCGUAUCAAUAAUAGAGACCUAGUAUACGCGUA